AUGGCAGGGAAAAACGCUGACAUGGCAGUGAAUUCUGCUGCUGUAGUAGCGCCACAACUGUGUGCUAAAACUUGGUGCAUAGGUGCUGGAACGCCAAUUCCUUGUGAUCUCAGUGCCUCUCCAGUGACUCCUGGACACGCACCGGUGACACCGGGAACGCCCUGGACAGAACCCUCCGAGGGACCGCAGGGAAAGCGAUUCUUGGAGGAACUCUAUGAGGAAACGGUGCCGGUCAAGGCAGCUGAUGCAGGUUUGUGUCUGUAUGCGUUGGAAGAACCAGCAAAUCACCUUGAAGCAAUGAAGGAGACCUGCUGGCAGAGAGCCAUGAAAGAAGAACUGAGCUCGAUAGAAUCCAAUGGAACUUGGGAGCUGUGUGAGCUGCCGAAAGGUCAUAACCCCAUUGGGUUGAAAUGGGUUUACAAGCUAAAGAAAGAUGCUAGCGGGGAUGUGAUCAAACACAAGGCGAGGUUAGUCGCUAAAGGGUACGUGCAACGACAAGGCAUUGAUUUUGAAGAAGUUUUUGCUCCAGUGGCACGCAUCGAGUCAGUAAGAUUGUUGGUCGCCCUUGCUGCCCAGUUCAGUUGGAAGAUGCAUCAUAUGGACGUAAAGUCUGCAUUUUUACAUGGUGACUUAGUUGAGGAGGUCUAUGUGAGUCAGCCGCCUGGUUUUGAGGUUGCUCGGAGUGACAGCAAGGUGUACAAGCUGCAUAAGGCUCUCUAUGGACUUCAUCAGGCUCCAAGGGCAUUUAACUGCAAACUUGAUGCAACUUUGAUAGAACUUGGCUUUGAAAAAUGCCCCUCAGAUUCAGGACUCUACAGGAAAAAAGAAGGGGAGUCGGUGCUGAUUGUGGGAGUUUAUGUGGAUGACUUGAUCAUCACAGGUGGCAGUGAUCGUGUCAUAGCAGAUUUCAAAAAACAAAUGAAGUCCAAAUUCAGUAUGAGUGACUUGGGGCUGCUGAGUUACUACUUGGGAAUCGAGGUGGAGCAAUCAGCGGAUGGAAUCACUCUGAGCCAAUCCGCGUAUGCUGCUCGGAUCCUUGAGAAAAUGGGAAUGUCAAAUUGUAACUCAGCUCACACACCCAUGGAGCCCAGACUAAAACUUAGCAAAGAAAGUCAAGCUGAAGCCGUGGAUCCUACAAAGUACAGAAGUGUGGUUGGUAGUCUGAGGUAUCUCCUCCACACUCGGCCGGAUCUUAGUUUUUCAGUUGGGUUUGUGAGCAGAUUUAUGGAAAGGCCUACAGUGGAGCACAUGGUGGCCGUUAAGCAUAUCCUCAAGUAUAUAAAAGGGACACUAGACCUCGGUUGCAGCUACAAGAGGGGCAGAGUAAAUGGUCCUUGGCUGCUGGGCUAUUGUGAUAGUGAUUUGGCAGGAGACAUCGAUGAUCGAAAAAGUACUUCAGGGGUAUUGUUCUAUUUUGGGGGGUGCCCUGUAACCUGGAGCUCCCAAAAGCAAAAAAUUGUUGCUCAGUCAUCGUGCGAAGCCGAGUAUGUGGCUGCAGCCUCUGCUGCUGGUCAAGCCGUGUGGUUGGCAAGGUUGGUAGGAGAACUACUUGAUCAAGAGACAGAAAGAGCAGUGAUCAGAGUUGACAAUCAAUCAGCUAUCGCCCUAUGCAAGAAUCCUGUAUUCCAUGAAAGAACUAAGCACAUUGAUGUGCGAUACCAUUUCGUGAGGCACUGUGUUGAAGAUGGCACUAUCGCCGUGGAACAUGUGAGGACUGAAGAACAACAUGCUGACAUUUUAACGAAGGCACUACCCAGAGUUCGCUUUCAAGAGUUGAAGAAGAAGAUUGGCAUGCUACUGGUCAAGUCAGUGCAUCUGGUUUAA
Molecule: ribosomal RNA, 1824 nt
Filed under: Triticum aestivum (bread wheat)
Lineage: Eukaryota; Viridiplantae; Streptophyta; Magnoliopsida; Poales; Poaceae
Description: partial small subunit ribosomal RNA
Source: RNAcentral